AUCUACGGCCAUACCACCCUGAACGCACCCGAUCUCGUCUGAUCUCGGAAGCUAAGCAGGAUCGGGCCUGGUUAGUACUUGGAUGGGAGACCGCCUGGGAAUACCAGGUGCUGUAGGCU
This 119-nucleotide ribosomal RNA is filed under the name Peromyscus maniculatus bairdii (prairie deer mouse). The record is from RNAcentral. Lineage: Eukaryota; Metazoa; Chordata; Mammalia; Rodentia; Cricetidae.